This 413-nucleotide RNase P RNA is filed under the name Chloroflexi bacterium RBG_13_68_17. Its description in RNAcentral is "RNase P RNA component class A". It matches the Rfam family "Bacterial RNase P class A". Rfam says of the family: Ribonuclease P (RNase P) is a ubiquitous endoribonuclease, found in archaea, bacteria and eukarya as well as chloroplasts and mitochondria. Its best characterised activity is the generation of mature 5'-ends of tRNAs by cleaving the 5'-leader elements of precursor-tRNAs. Lineage: Bacteria; Bacillati; Chloroflexota. The record is from RNAcentral.
GGGGUCGGCCGGGCGAUCGCGGGCGGUUCGCCGCCCGAGGAAAGUCCGCGCUCCACCGAGCACGGUGCCGGGCAACACCCGGGCGGGGAGACCCGCGGAUAGGGCCACAGAAAACGACCGCCCCGGACACGCUCCGGGGUCAGGGUGAAAAGGUGGUGCAAGAGACCACCGGCGUCGGCAGCAAUGCCGGCGGCCAGGCAACCCCCACCGGGAGCAAGGCCAAGCAGGGGCGAAGCCCGGCGACGGGCGGGGGGCUGCUCGUCCCCCUCGAGCCCCGGGUAGGCUGCUGGAGCUCCGCGGCGACGCGUGAGCCGAGAGAGAUGAUCGCCCCUCGCCGGCGGGCGGGAAGAAGGGUCUUCCCGUAAACCGCCCGCCGACGCGGACAGAACGCGGCUUAUAGGCCGGCCCAGGCU